CUGGGACAUUAGAAGACUUAGUCCUUUUUACCACAGCUUGAACCAUGGAUCAAGCAGUGCCUGACCCCCAAGGGGGUAUUGGUAUUAAGGUUAUCCCCCCUCUUGAUAUAUGCAUCUUUUUACUAUUUAUGUGGCAGAAGAUGCUAUUAUCCCGAAAGUUAAUGUUCAGAUUCUAAGUCUUAGAGUAAAAAGAAAGAAGUAUUUCCGGCCUUGAUGAGCAUGAGGGGUCCACCAUAUAAAACUUUGUUUUGCCUGUUCUUAGGCUUACUUCUCAACAUGCCUGUGAAUCCAGAAACUUAUUCAUCAAAUAAUUAUUUAGUUGAAAUGUGUCAGUCUCUUCCACAAGUGUUGGUCGAAUUGAGCUGGUCUUUGAGAGAUGUUUUGGGUAAUAAUUUCGUUUUGACAAUUUAGCUCAAACUUUCUUUAAUGAAGCAUUUUGUUGUCCACAUAGGAAUGCUACUUUCCCAAACUCUGAUUUGCUUUGUUUUGAAAUAACUAUCAUAAACACCAUUAGUAGAGAAUAAAAAGAAUUUGCAUCAUC
Long non-coding RNA from Sarcophilus harrisii (Tasmanian devil), 541 nucleotides. RefSeq lists it as uncharacterized. The record is from RefSeq and is a predicted model, not a curated record. The transcript has 4 exons. NCBI's taxonomy places the organism in Eukaryota, Metazoa, Chordata, Mammalia, Dasyuromorphia, Dasyuridae.